Molecule: RNA transcript, 1285 nt
Organism: Cydia splendana
Lineage: Eukaryota; Metazoa; Arthropoda; Insecta; Lepidoptera; Tortricidae
Gene: Oscillin
Gene name: glucosamine-6-phosphate isomerase
Exons: 6
Source: RefSeq, a predicted model, not a curated record
UAGUUUAUACAGAGUGUAGUAUAGUGUACAGACAGGAGACCGGAGUCGGCGCGAGAGGACGUGCGCUGUAACAAAACACCAGAAACCCAGCAAUGCGGUUAAUCAUCCUCGACGAUGCCAACGUGGUGGCGGACUGGGCCGCGAGGUUCGUGCUCCAGCGCAUCUCGGAGUUCAAGCCCGGCCCUGGCCGACACUUCGUGCUGGGGCUGCCCACGGGUGGAACACCUCUGGGGAUGUACAGGCGGCUUAUCGACUUCUAUAAGGAGGGCCGGCUGUCCUUCAAAUACGUCACUACGUUCAACAUGGACGAGUAUGUCGGCUUGCCCCGCGACCACCCUGAAUCGUACCACUACUACAUGUGGAACGAGUUCUUCAAACACAUCGACAUCGAGCCCGGCAACGCGCAUGUGCUGGACGGCAACGCGCCAGACCUGGCCGCCGAGUGCCGCCGGUAUGAGGAGAUGAUCGCGGCCGCGGGCGGCGUGCAUCUUUUUAUCGGAGGAAUCGGUCCGGACGGGCACAUCGCGUUCAACGAGCCGGGCUCUUCGCUGGUGUCCCGCACCCGGGUCAAGACUCUCGCCUACGACACGUUAGAAGCCAACAAGCGGUUCUUCGGCGGCGACAUCUCGCAAGUGCCGCGGCAGGCGCUCACCGUCGGCGUCGGGACCGUCAUGGACGCCAAGGAGGUGAUGAUCCUGAUCACGGGCGUGCACAAGGCGCUGGCGCUGUCCCGCGCCGUCGAAGAGGGCGUCAACCACAUGUGGACCGUCUCCGCGUUCCAGCAGCACCCUCAAACGCUGCUCAUAGCGGACGAAGACGCCACGCUGGAGCUGCGGGUUAAAACCGUCAAGUACUUUAAGGUAUGUGUCCCAUGAGAGUCAACCACAUGUGGACCGUCUCCGCCUUCCAGCAGCCCCCUCAAACGCUGCUCAUAGCGGACGAAGACGCCACGCUGGAGCUGCGGGUUAAAACCGUCAAGUACUUUAAGGUAUGUGUCCCAUGAGAGUCAACCACAUGUGGACCGUCUCCGCCUUCCAGCAGCCCCCUCAAACGCUGCUCAUAGCUGACGAAGACGCCACGCUGGAGCUGCGGGUUAAGACCGUCAAGUACUUCAAGAGUCUCAUGGACGUGCACAACAAGCUGAUCGAGGGCACGUUUUGACCCGACGCCGCCGGCAGAGGGCCACACACUGGAACUAACUGUUAGGUUUUAUAAUUUUAUACAACUGUUAGAUAAGAUCAAAACUGUAAUAGAAUAAGCUAUAAAUGAUUAUGUAUAUUUCCAA